This 390-nucleotide ribosomal RNA is filed under the name uncultured bacterium. RNAcentral describes it as "bacterial SSU rRNA". It matches the Rfam family "Bacterial small subunit ribosomal RNA", at positions 28 to 417 of the family's 1533-position model. The record is from RNAcentral.
GAUGAACGCUAGCGGCAGGCCUAAUACAUGCAAGUCGAACGGUAAGGCCCUUUCGGGGGUACACGAGUGGCGGACGGGUGCGUAACGCGUAUGCAACAUGCCUUCCAGCGGGGGAUAUACCAGGGAAACUUGGCGCAAUACCCCAUAGAAUUACGGGACCGCAUGGUCUUGUGAUUAAAACUCCGGUGCUGGGAGAUUGGCAUGCGUGACAUUAGCUAGUUGGCGGGGGUAACGGCCCACCAAGGCGACGAUGUCUAGCUGGUCUGAGAGGAUGAUCAGCCACACUGGGACUGAGACACGGCCCAGACUCCUACGGGAGGCAGCAGUGGGGAAUAUUGCGCAAUGGGGGGAAACCCUGACGCAGCCACGCCGCGUGGGUGAUGAAGGCCU